Mesocricetus auratus (golden hamster) is the source of this 2042-nucleotide long non-coding RNA. RefSeq lists it as uncharacterized. The transcript has 2 exons. Lineage: Eukaryota; Metazoa; Chordata; Mammalia; Rodentia; Cricetidae. The record is from RefSeq and is a predicted model, not a curated record.
CUCUCAUAUUUCCCUGUAGACACAUGUGGACCACACAUGAGAGGCUGGUGACGUGGGUCUGCAUGUAAAGGCGUUUGCAGCCAAGCUCCUUGCUCUCUACGUUGAGGGUACAUCUUACAGACUGUGGGCCCACCUGUAUCUGAACCUGGUUUCUGGCCCCACCCAGCAGAAGUGCCCACAGCUGGUGCUCGCUCUGCUUGUUGAGAAGGGAACCCAGGAACCAGAUCUGCUGCUGUCGUGGUCCUCUGCUCGCAAGCACAGACCCAAGGCCAGAUGCCUGAGUGACGUGACAACUUAGGGAUCUCAUGUCAUCCUGACCCAGCAGAAGAGUGGUCACCUGCUCCGUGAUGUGGGCCCAAGGAUAGACACCUGAUUAAUGAUGGCAGGGGCAGGGAAAAGCAUAUUGAGAACUCCUGGCAAAUACCACGACUCCUCCAGGAACUGUCUCUGCUUCCUUACUCCACUUCUGCUAACUGAGGUCCAUGGAGCUUGCCACCCACAGAGAGCUCCCUGGCUGUCCUGGUUCAGCAAACCCGCCAGUCCUCGGCCUCGCUGGAAGUCCGCUUCAACAACAUCCCUGCCUCAUCCCAGGCCAAGGCCUCUGAGGACCCUGGAGCACCUUGUACGGGGCUGCUAAGAAAACACUGUGGAGUAAAGGCUGUUUGCAGAGGCCAGCUUGAAAGGCAAGCUCACACCAGGAGGAAGAACGGGGUGUGUCUCCACGCGGGCUAAGGUGGACUGAUGCCAUCCACACCUCAGUUUGCCUUCCGUAUGCCUUCACCUCCGCCUCGCUAGGCUCUGAGUCACAGAUUUUGCAGGGCUACCAGCCCAGUUCCUUGGCCUCCCAGGUGCCAGAUUAGUUGGCUGCCUGGGCCCAGCAGGGACAUCCAAGACUGUGUGGGUCACACAUCUUUGUAAAUGGGGACAGAGAUCCAAAGGGGAGGCGGCUUGUCUUAAGUCACACAGUAGGUUGUGACAAGACCUGGUGGUGAAACAGAGGCAUAGCAAUGGGACAUUACCUACCAUGGUCAUUUAGCUAGCUAGCAGAUUACAUGGGGAAACUGAGGUUUGAGGAUGUGAAAUCAAUCGUUGACCUAUGCACCAACAGUCCAGAGGUGUUAAAAUUCAGGAUGGGUCCCAGGAGAGGACUCCCCCCCACAAGCCUCUCCCCCCACCUCUUCUCGGAAAGAAGCUAGCGUGGGUCAUCCCCUGUUUGCUGAGUCUCAAUAACCCCAGCUGGUGGCUCCCACUCCCCUGCACAGCCCCUUCAGAUCUUAUCACUCCAGCUAACAGAGGAAGCUUCUCACCUGGUGUCCAUCCCUCCCCAGGACACACCGUGUGCACAGGUGCAUAGGUGGGCGGAGCCAGAGGACAUUCCUGGAGACCAGAGACAAUGGCAGGGUUAAGAGGGCCAUCCUCUUUCACACCUCCUGAUUCCUCCAGUUAGUAAAUCAUUCUCCCGAGCUGUACAAAGCAGCCAUUGAGCAGGUCUAGUCCCUGCCCCCCCCAACCCAACCCCCCAGUCCUGUGCCACAGGGAGGUAGAGGCUACUCAGGUCGCUGAGAGUCCGGGUGGCAGGUCCUGAGCUCUCUGCCCGCCCCUCUGGCAUGGGGAUCAGGUUACCCCAUCUAAUCCCUGCCCCUCCAUCCACCCUCUUUGAGCCCAUUGUAAUUUAUAAUGGAGGCAUGAUGCAACCUGCUAAUUACAUUGCUGGAUUUCCAACACAUCCCUGCUUCUCUGAGUCAGGCAGCGGCAGCAGGAGCAGCCGGCUCCGCUUUGUGGCUUAUCAGGACUGGGUUAUUCAGCUCACACCCGAUCCGCCUCCCCCCAGCCUCCUGUCUUUGUUAACCAGGGCUUGCAUCACCACCCGCUUUCCAUUUCUCUGGAAAUUUUUUAACGGCUCUUUUUUAUGAGGCGCUCCAUCUUGUUAGCUAAUGAAUGACUGUGGGCCAGCGCCGAAGACUGCUUUGUGCCUCUAUUAAAUGUUACAUGAUCGCAAUUAUAAGUUAACAAGGGACAGCUAAUAAAAAAAAGAUAAUCUA